RNAcentral lists this ribosomal RNA (253 nucleotides) under uncultured bacterium. Its description in RNAcentral is "partial 16S ribosomal RNA". It matches the Rfam family "Bacterial small subunit ribosomal RNA", at positions 524 to 776 of the family's 1533-position model. The record is from RNAcentral.
UACGGAGGGUGCAAGCGUUAAUCGGAAUUACUGGGCGUAAAGAGUACGUAGGCGGCUUGGUCAGUCGGAUGUGAAAGCCCCGGGCUUAACCUGGGAAUUGCACUCGAUACUGCCAGGCUAGAGUUUGGUAGAGGAUUGGGGAAUUUCCAGUGUAGCGGUGAAAUGCGUAGAGAUUGGGAAGAACAUCGAUGGCGAAGGCAACAAUCUGGACCUGAACUGACACUGAGGGACGAAAGCGUGGGUAGCAAACAGG